This 627-nucleotide ribosomal RNA is filed under the name Bacillus sp. (in: firmicutes). RNAcentral's name for it is "bacterial SSU rRNA". It matches the Rfam family "Bacterial small subunit ribosomal RNA", at positions 337 to 954 of the family's 1533-position model. The record is from RNAcentral. Lineage: Bacteria; Bacillati; Bacillota; Bacilli; Caryophanales; Bacillaceae.
UCCUACGGGAGGCAGCAGUAGGGAAUCUUCCGCAAUGGACGAAAGUCUGACGGAGCAACGCCGCGUGAGCGAUGAAGGCCUUCGGGUCGUAAAGCUCUGUUGUUAGGGAAGAACAAGUGCUAGUUGAAUAAGCUGGCACCUUGACGGUACCUAACCAGAAAGCCACGGCUAACUACGUGCCAGCAGCCGCGGUAAUACGUAGGUGGCAAGCGUUGUCCGGAAUUAUUGGGCGUAAAGCGCGCGCAGGCGGUUUCUUAAGUCUGAUGUGAAAGCCCCCGGCUCAACCGGGGAGGGUCAUUGGAAACUGGGAAACUUGAGUGCAGAAGAGGAAAGUGGAAUUCCAAGUGUAGCGGUGAAAUGCGUAGAGAUUUGGAGGAACACCAGUGGCGAAGGCGACUUUCUGGUCUGUAACUGACGCUGAGGCGCGAAAGCGUGGGGAGCAAACAGGAUUAGAUACCCUGGUAGUCCACGCUGUAAACGAUGAGUGCUAAGUGUUAGAGGGUUUCCGCCCUUUAGUGCUGAAGUUAACGCAUUAAGCACUCCGCCUGGGGAGUACGGUCGCAAGACUGAAACUCAAAGGAAUUGACGGGGGCCCGCACAAGUGGUGGAGCAUGUGGUUUAAUUCGA